GCCCCACUGUAACCUUUCUCAUGUUCUAUGACAGGUCUUCAGAUUGUUGCCCCACUGUAACCUUUCUCAUGUUCUAUGACAGGUCUUCAGAUUGCUGCCCCACUGUAACCUUUCUCAUGUUCUAUGACAGGUCUGCUGAUUGUUGCCCCACUGUAACCUUUCUCAUGUUCUAUGACAGGUCUGCUGAUUGCUGCCCCACUGUAAACUUUAUCAUGUUCUAUGACAGG
Molecule: long non-coding RNA, 227 nt
Organism: Dreissena polymorpha
Lineage: Eukaryota; Metazoa; Mollusca; Bivalvia; Myida; Dreissenidae
Exons: 3
Source: RefSeq, a predicted model, not a curated record